CCUACGGGUGGCAGCAGUGGGGAAUAUUGCACAAUGGGGGAAACCCUGAUGCAGCGACGUCGCGUGAGUGAAGAAGUAUCUCGGUAUGUAAAGCUCUAUCAGUAGGGAAGAAAAUGACGGUACCUGAUCAAGAAGCCCCGGCUAACUACGUGCCAGCAGCCGCGGUUAUACGGAGGGGGCAAGCGUUAUCCGGAUUUACUGGGUGUAAAGGGGGCGUAGACGGCAGCACAAGUCUGGAGUGAAAUGCCGGGGCUUAACCCCGGAACUGCUUUUGAAACUGUGCAGCUAGAGUGCAGGAGAGGUAGGUGGAAUUCGUGGUGUAGCGGUGAAAUGCGUAGAUAUUAGGAGGAACACCGGUGGCGAAGGCGGCUUACUGGACUGUAACUGACGUUGAGGCUCGAAAGCGUGGGGAGCAAACAGGAUUAGAUACCCCUGUAGUC
This 440-nucleotide ribosomal RNA is filed under the name uncultured bacterium. Its description in RNAcentral is "partial 16S ribosomal RNA". It matches the Rfam family "Bacterial small subunit ribosomal RNA", at positions 338 to 795 of the family's 1533-position model. The record is from RNAcentral.